CCCUUAGAUGCUCUGGGCCGCACGCGCGCUACACUGGUCGAUGCAACGAGUUUCUUUCCUUGGCCGACAGGCCUGGGCAAUCUUUGAACGCUGUUCGUGAUUGGGAUAGACCUUUGCAAUUAUGGGUCUUCAACGAGGAAUUCCUAGUAAACGCAAGUCAUCAGCUUGCAUUGAUUACGUCCCUGCCCUUUGUACACACCGCCCGUCGCACCUACCGAUUGAAUGGUCCGGUGAAAUCUCGGGACGGCGGCUUGGUCGCUUGCGUCCGACUGCUGAAACUUGAUUAAACCAUAUCAUUUAGAGGAAGGUGAAGUCGUAACA
RNAcentral lists this ribosomal RNA (321 nucleotides) under uncultured eukaryote. Its description in RNAcentral is "partial 18S ribosomal RNA". It matches the Rfam family "Eukaryotic small subunit ribosomal RNA", at positions 1470 to 1796 of the family's 1831-position model. The record is from RNAcentral.